This 465-nucleotide ribosomal RNA is filed under the name Vreelandella stevensii. Its description in RNAcentral is "partial 16S ribosomal RNA". It matches the Rfam family "Bacterial small subunit ribosomal RNA", at positions 338 to 795 of the family's 1533-position model. Lineage: Bacteria; Pseudomonadati; Pseudomonadota; Gammaproteobacteria; Oceanospirillales; Halomonadaceae. The record is from RNAcentral.
CCUACGGGGGGCUGCAGUGGGGAAUAUUGGACAAUGGGGGCAACCCUGAUCCAGCCAUGCCGCGUGUGUGAAGAAGGCCCUCGGGUUGUAAAGCACUUUCAGUGAGGAAGAACGCCUGGUGGUUAAUACCCAUCAGGAAAGACAUCACUCACAGAAGAAGCACCGGCUAACUCCGUGCCAGCAGCCGCGGUAAUACGGAGGGUGCGAGCGUUAAUCGGAAUUACUGGGCGUAAAGCGCGCGUAGGUGGCUUGAUAAGCCGGUUGUGAAAGCCCCGGGCUCAACCUGGGAACGGCAUCCGGAACCGUCAAGCUAGAGUGCAGGAGAGGAAGGUAGAAUUCCCGGUGUAGCGGUGAAAUGCGUAGAGAUCGGGAGGAAUACCAGUGGCGAAGGCGGCCUUCUGGACUGACACUGACACUGAGGUGCGAAAGCGUGGGUAGCAAACAGGAUUAGAUACCCGAGUAGUC